UUCCCGAAUAACUUCACACUUGCACGGUAUAUCCUUUCAUGCUUUCCCUUGGCGACCAAGGUUCUCAUGGCCACUUACCUUGCUCCAGACCCAACUUUUUCCUCUGGGAUCUCCUCUAACAAUAUUCAAACAUCAGCUCUUCUACAGUCACCAAAUCCUGCCUGUGUUAAAAACAGUCGUCAACAUCCGAAACUGUUUUCAGGUUGUCCUGAUUGAAUAAUACUUCGUGAUGUGUGGACAGACUGUGUUUAAUUCUGCGUCUAGCGUUUGGCAGAAAACUCACCCUAGGUGCUGUGCUGAGGUGUAAACCUAGAAGAGAGACCAGUUUGGAGGCUUCCAUAUAAUCCAGCUGCCACAGCCUGAGGACACCCAGACGGCUAAUGGAGAAGUUUGUAUGGUGGGACUCUCAGAAAUGAGUGGAACUUGGAGGUGGAUUUUCUUGACCCUGCCAGUGGCUACGUGAGCCAUCUUGGAAGCAGAUUCUCCAGCCCCAGCCAACGACUUGACUGUACCUAAGGCAGAAGCACCCAUUAAGCUGCAUUCAGAUUCCUGACCCAUGAAAACUCUGAGAUAAUCCAUGUUUAUGGUUCAAAGCUGCUAAGUUUUGGGGUAUAUUGCUAUGCAACCACAGAUAACUACUAUACCCAACUUGUACCAAGUCUGCGUUUUUCUAAGUACAGGAAUACUCACACUUAAUUCAACUUCUGUAUUUCAAAAGUAGGUUGGGUAUAUAAAUUUUAUCUAUUUAUUUUUUAUGACGACCCUAGCACUCAUACUUCACAUAUACAGCGAGAACAGCAACAACAAAAACACAGAGACAAACACAAAACAAAGAAGAGGAAUACAAAGAAAUCUAAUCAGAGGAUGACUUUAUAUACUUUUUAUUUUUAUUUUCAUUUUUAUUUUUUUUUAGGUUUUUCUCCGGU
Molecule: long non-coding RNA, 926 nt
Organism: Chinchilla lanigera (long-tailed chinchilla)
Lineage: Eukaryota; Metazoa; Chordata; Mammalia; Rodentia; Chinchillidae
Exons: 4
Source: RefSeq, a predicted model, not a curated record